GAUGAACGCUGACAGAAUGCUUAACACAUGCAAGUCUUUGGCGAAGCUGUGCUUGCACAGCCUAGCCAAGGCGGACGGGUGAGUAACGCGUAAGGAACUUGCCCUGCAGUCAGGGAUAACAGACGGAAACGACUGAUAAGACCUGGUAAAGUCAGGCGGACUCAUGUCCAGCCUGAUGAAAAGAGAUGCUGCAGGAGAGCCUUGCGUCCUAUUAGCUUGUUGGUGGGGUAACGGCCCACCAAGGCGAUGAUAGGUAGCCGGCCUGAGAGGGUGGACGGCCACAAGGGGACUGAGAUACGGCACUUACUCCUACGGGAGGCAGCAGUGGGGAAUAUUGGACAAUGGGGGCAACCCUGAUCCAGCAAUUCUGUGUGCACGAUGAAGGUUUUCGGAUUGUAAAGUGCUUUCAGCAGGGAAGAUAAAAAUGACGGUACCUGCAGAAGAAGCGACGGCUAAAUACGUG
RNAcentral lists this ribosomal RNA (463 nucleotides) under uncultured bacterium. RNAcentral describes it as "partial 16S ribosomal RNA". It matches the Rfam family "Bacterial small subunit ribosomal RNA", at positions 28 to 507 of the family's 1533-position model. The record is from RNAcentral.